RNAcentral lists this transfer RNA (65 nucleotides) under Dipodomys ordii (Ord's kangaroo rat). It matches the Rfam family "tRNA". From Rfam's summary of the family: Transfer RNA (tRNA) molecules are approximately 80 nucleotides in length. Their secondary structure includes four short double-helical elements and three loops (D, anti-codon, and T loops). Lineage: Eukaryota; Metazoa; Chordata; Mammalia; Rodentia; Heteromyidae. The record is from Rfam by way of RNAcentral.
GGUGGCUCAGUGGUAGAGCACUUGCCUUGCAUGCAUGAGGCCCUGAGUUUGAUUCCUCUGCACCA